RNAcentral lists this ribosomal RNA (587 nucleotides) under Bipolaris sorokiniana. RNAcentral describes it as "eukaryotic LSU rRNA". The stretch from base 204 to 357 matches the Rfam family "5.8S ribosomal RNA". Lineage: Eukaryota; Fungi; Ascomycota; Dothideomycetes; Pleosporales; Pleosporaceae. The record is from RNAcentral.
UCCGUAGGUGAACCUGCGGAGGGAUCAUUACACAACAAAAUAUGAAGGUCUGGCUUCGCGGCCGGCUGAAAUAUUUUUUUCACCCAUGUCUUUUGCGCACUUGUUGUUUCCUGGGCGGGUUCGCCCGCCACCAGGACCAAACCAUAAACCUUUUUUUUUAUGCAGUUGCAAUCAGCGUCAGUAAAAACAAUGUAAUUAAUUACAACUUUCAACAACGGAUCUCUUGGUUCUGGCAUCGAUGAAGAACGCAGCGAAAUGCGAUACGUAGUGUGAAUUGCAGAAUUCAGUGAAUCAUCGAAUCUUUGAACGCACAUUGCGCCCUUUGGUAUUCCAAAGGGCAUGCCUGUUCGAGCGUCAUUUGUACCUUCAAGCUUUGCUUGGUGUUGGGCGUUUUUGUCUCCCUCUUUCAGGGAGACUCGCCUUAAAACGAUUGGCAGCCGGCCUACUGGUUUCGGAGCGCAGCACAUAAUUUGCGCUUUGUAUCAGGAGAAAAGGACGGUAAUCCAUCAAGACUCUACAUUUUUAACUUUUGACCUCGGAUCAGGUAGGGAUACCCGCUGAACUUAAGCAUAUCAAUAAGCGGAGGA